GAUGAACGCUGGCGGCGUGCCUAAUACAUGCAAGUCGAGCGAACGGACGAGAAGCUUGCUUCUCUGACGUUAGCGGCGGACGGGUGAGUAACACGUGGAUAACCUACCUAUAAGACUGGGAUAACUUCGGGAAACCGGAGCUAAUACCGGAUGAUAUUUUGAACCGCAUGGUUCAAUAGUGAAAGACGGUCUUGCUGUCACUUAUAGAUGGAUCCGCGCUGCAUUAGCUAGUUGGUAAGGUAACGGCUUACCAAGGCAACGAUGCAUAGCCGACCUGAGAGGGUGAUCGGCCACACUGGAACUGAGACAUGGUCCAGACUCCUACGGGAGGCAGCAGUAGGGAAUCUUCCGCAAUGGGCGAAAGCCUGACGGAGCAACGCCGCGUGAGUGAUGAAGGUCUUCGGAUCGUAAAACUCUGUUAUUAGGGAAGAACAUAUGUGUAAGUAACUGUGCACAUCUUGACGGUACCUAAUCAGAAAGCCACGGCUAACUACGUG
Molecule: ribosomal RNA, 497 nt
Filed under: uncultured bacterium
Lineage: Bacteria
Description: partial 16S ribosomal RNA
Rfam family: Bacterial small subunit ribosomal RNA
Source: RNAcentral